UCCAGGCAAAUCCGGAUAAUCAAGGCUGAGGUGUGAUGACGAGGCACUACGGUGCUGAAGUAACAAAUGCCCUGCUUCCAGGAAAAGCCUCUAAGCAUCAGGUAACAUUAAAUCGUACCCCAAACCGACACAGGUGGUCAGGUAGAGAAUACCAAGGCGCUUGAGAGAACUCGGGUGAAGGAACUAGGCAAAAUGGUGCCGUAACUUCGGGAGAAGGCACGCUGGUGUGUAGGUGAAGCCCCUGCGGGUGGAGCUGAGACCAGUCGAAGAUACCAGCUGGCUGCAACUGUUUAUUAAAAACACAGCACUGUGCAAACACGAAAGUGGACGUAUACGGUGUGACGCCUGCCCGGUGCCGGAAGGUUAAUUGAUGGGGUUAUCCGUAAGGAGAAGCUCUUGAUCGAAGCCCCGGUAAACGGCGGCCGUAACUAUAACGGUCCUAAGGUAGCGAAAUUCCUUGUCGGGUAAGUUCCGACCUGCACGAAUGGCGUAAUGAUGGCCAGGCUGUCUCCACCCGAGACUCAGUGAAAUUGAACUCGCUGUGAAGAUGCAGUGUACCCGCGGCAAGACGGAAAGACCCCGUGAACCUUUACUAUAGCUUGACACUGAACAUUGAGCCUUGAUGUGUAGGAUAGGUGGGAGGCUUUGAAGCGUGGACGCCAGUCUGCGUGGAGCCAACCUUGAAAUACCACCCUUUAAUGUUUGAUGUUCUAACGUUGGCCCCUUACCGGGGUUGCGGACAGUGUCUGGUGGGUAGUUUGACUGGGGCGGUCUCCUCCCAAAGCGUAACGGAGGAGCACGAAGGUUAGCUAAUCCUGGUCGGACAUCAGGAGGUUAGUGCAAUGGCAUAAGCUAGCUUGACUGCGAGCGUGACGGCGCGAGCAGGUGCGAAAGCAGGUCAUAGUGAUCCGGUGGUUCUGAAUGGAAGGGCCAUCGCUCAACGGAUAAAAGGUACUCCGGGGAUAACAGGCUGAUACCGCCCAAGAGUUCAUAUCGACGGCGGUGUUUGGCACCUCGAUGUCGGCUCAUCACAUCCUGGGGCUGAAGUAGGUCCCAAGGGUAUGGCUGUUCGCCAUUUAAAGUGGUACGCGAGCUGGGUUUAGAACGUCGUGAGACAGUUCGGUCCCUAUCUGCCGUGGGCGCUGGAGAAUUGAGGGGGGCUGCUCCUAGUACGAGAGGACCGGAGUGGACGCAUCACUGGUGUUCGGGUUGUCAUGCCAAUGGCACUGCCCGGUAGCUAAAUGCGGAAGAGAUAAGUGCUGAAAGCAUCUAAGCACGAAACUUGCCCCGAGAUGAGUUCUCCCUGAGACUUUAAGUCUCCUGAAGGAACGUUAAAGACGAUGACGUUGAUAGGCCGGGUGUGUAAGCGCAGCGAUGCGUUGAGCUAACCGGUACUAAUGAACCGUGAGGCUUAACCUU
Molecule: ribosomal RNA, 1419 nt
Filed under: Klebsiella pneumoniae
Lineage: Bacteria; Pseudomonadati; Pseudomonadota; Gammaproteobacteria; Enterobacterales; Enterobacteriaceae
Description: bacterial LSU rRNA
Rfam family: Bacterial large subunit ribosomal RNA
Source: RNAcentral